UACGUAGGGUGCGAGCGUUGUCCGGAAUUAUUGGGCGUAAAGAGCUCGUAGGCGGCCUGUUGCGUCCGCUGUGAAAUCCCGGGGCUUAACCCCGGGCGUGCAGUGGAUACGGGCUGGCUGGAGGCAGGCAGGGGAGAACGGAAUUCCUGGUGUAGCGGUGAAAUGCGCAGAUAUCAGGAGGAACACCGGUGGCGAAGGCGGUUCUCUGGGCCUGUACUGACGCUGAGGAGCGAAAGCGUGGGGAGCGAACAGG
Molecule: ribosomal RNA, 253 nt
Filed under: uncultured bacterium
Lineage: Bacteria
Description: partial 16S ribosomal RNA
Rfam family: Bacterial small subunit ribosomal RNA
Source: RNAcentral